CCACCUACGGGUGGCAGCAGUUUCGAAUCAUUCACAAUGGGCGAAAGCCUGAUGGUGCGACGCCGCGUGAGGGAUGAAGGUCUUCGGAUUGUAAACCUCUGUCACUGGGGAAGAAACGCUUUGAGCUAACAGUUCAAAGCCUGACUUAACCCGGAGAGGAAGCAGUGGCUAACUCUGUGCCAGCAGCCGCGGUAAUACAGAGACUGCAAGCGUUAUUCGGAUUCACUGGGCGUAAAGGGUGCGCAGGCGGCCAGGUGUGUGAGGUGUGAAAGCCCGGGGCUUAACCCCGGAAUUGCACCUCAAACUACACGGCUAGAGCAUUGGAGAGGGUAGCAGAAUUCACGGUGUAGCAGGGAAAUGCGUAGAUAUCGUGAGGAAUACCAGAGGCGAAGGCGGCUACCUGGACAAUUGCUGACGCUCAGGCACGAAAGCGUGGGGAGCAAAAGGGAUUAGAUACCCCGGUAGUCUC
RNAcentral lists this ribosomal RNA (469 nucleotides) under uncultured Opitutus sp. RNAcentral's name for it is "bacterial SSU rRNA". It matches the Rfam family "Bacterial small subunit ribosomal RNA", at positions 335 to 797 of the family's 1533-position model. The record is from RNAcentral. Lineage: Bacteria; Pseudomonadati; Verrucomicrobiota; Opitutia; Opitutales; Opitutaceae.